UACGUAGGGUGCAAGCGUUGUCCGGAAUUAUUGGGCGUAAAGAGCUCGUAGGCGGUUUGUCGCGUCUGCUGUGAAAACUCGGGGCUUAACUCCGGGCCUGCAGUGGGUACGGGCAGACUAGAGUGCGGUAGGGGAGACUGGAAUUCCUGGUGUAGCGGUGAAAUGCGCAGAUAUCAGGAGGAACACCGGUGGCGAAGGCGGCUCACUGGUCCAUUACUGACGCUGAGGUGCGAAAGCGUGGGGAGCAAACAGG
This 253-nucleotide ribosomal RNA is filed under the name uncultured bacterium. RNAcentral describes it as "partial 16S ribosomal RNA". It matches the Rfam family "Bacterial small subunit ribosomal RNA", at positions 524 to 776 of the family's 1533-position model. The record is from RNAcentral.